UGAGUAGGCGGGAAAUCAAGUCAGAUGUGAAAUGCAGGGGCUUAACCCCUGAACUGCAUUUGAAACUGUUUUUCUUGAGUGUCGGAGAGGUAAUUGGAAUUCCCAGUGUAGCGGUGAAAUGCGUAGAGAUUGGGAGGAACACCAGUGGCGAAGGCGGAUUACUGGACGACAACUGACGCUGAGGCACGAAAGUGUGGGGAGCAAACA
RNAcentral lists this ribosomal RNA (207 nucleotides) under uncultured bacterium. Its description in RNAcentral is "partial 16S ribosomal RNA". It matches the Rfam family "Bacterial small subunit ribosomal RNA", at positions 568 to 774 of the family's 1533-position model. The record is from RNAcentral.